RNAcentral lists this ribosomal RNA (301 nucleotides) under uncultured bacterium. Its description in RNAcentral is "partial 16S ribosomal RNA". It matches the Rfam family "Bacterial small subunit ribosomal RNA", at positions 509 to 807 of the family's 1533-position model. The record is from RNAcentral.
CAGCCGCCACGGUAAUACAGAGGGUGCGAGCGUUAAUCGGAUUUACUGGGCGUAAAGCGUGCGUAGGCGGCUUUUUAAGUCGGAUGUGAAAUCCCUGAGCUUAACUUAGGAAUUGCAUUCGAUACUGGGAAGCUAGAGUAUGGGAGAGGAUGGUAGAAUUCCAGGUGUAGCGGUGAAAUGCGUAGAGAUCUGGAGGAAUACCGAUGGCGAAGGCAGCCAUCUGGCCUAAUACUGACGCUGAGGUACGAAAGCAUGGGGAGCAAACAGGAUUAGAUACCCCAGUAGUCCCUGUCUCUUAUAC